UACUGGAACACUGGAUUAACAGAACGUUCA
This 30-nucleotide non-coding RNA is filed under the name Mus musculus (house mouse). Lineage: Eukaryota; Metazoa; Chordata; Mammalia; Rodentia; Muridae. The record is from RNAcentral.